GAUGAACGCUGGCGGCAUGCUUAACACAUGCCAGUCGAACGGGACGUGCUGUUUCCGGUGGCGGACGGGUGGUUAACGCGUGAGAACCUGCCCUUGGGUGGGGAUCAACCGCUGGAAACGGCUGCUAUUACCCCGUAUGCUGUGGAGCAAAAGGAGGAUUCCGCCCGAGGGGGGGCUUGCGUCUGUUUAUCUAGUUGGUGAUGCAAUACCUUACCAAGGCGAGUAGAAGUCGCUGGUCCGAGAGGAUGAGCAGCCACACUGGGAGUGAGACACGCCGCAGACACUCACAGGAGGCGGCAGUGUGGAGAAUACUGCAAAGGGGGAAAGCCUGAGAGAGCAAAGCGGCGUGGGGGUAGUAAGGCCAUGAGUCGUGAAAUGCUUUUUUAGGAGAAGAAGCAAUGACGGUAUCUGGAGAAUAAGCACCGGCUAACUCUGUG
RNAcentral lists this ribosomal RNA (437 nucleotides) under uncultured bacterium. Its description in RNAcentral is "partial 16S ribosomal RNA". It matches the Rfam family "Bacterial small subunit ribosomal RNA", at positions 28 to 507 of the family's 1533-position model. The record is from RNAcentral.